Non-coding RNA from Biomphalaria glabrata, 74 nucleotides. NCBI's taxonomy places the organism in Eukaryota, Metazoa, Mollusca, Gastropoda, Planorbidae. The record is from Rfam.
GGCCGGUUAGCUCAGUUGGUUAGAGCGUCGUGCUAAUAACGCGAAUGUCGUGGGUUCGAUCCCCAUACUGGCCA